AGCGCAGGCGGGAAGACAAGUUGGAAGUGAAAUCUAUGGGCUCAACCCAUAAACUGCUUUCAAAACUGUUUUUCUUGAGUAGUGCAGAGGUAGGCGGAAUUCCCGGUGUAGCGGUGGAAUGCGUAGAUAUCGGGAGGAACACCAGUGGCGAAGGCGGCCUACUGGGCACCAACUGACGCUGAGGCUCGAAAGCGUGGGGAGCAAACA
Molecule: ribosomal RNA, 207 nt
Filed under: uncultured bacterium
Lineage: Bacteria
Description: partial 16S ribosomal RNA
Rfam family: Bacterial small subunit ribosomal RNA
Source: RNAcentral